GACGAACGCUGGCGGCGUGCUUAACACAUGCAAGUCGAGCGGUAAGGCCCUUUCGGGGUACGACGAGCGGCGAACGGGUGAGUAACACGUGGGUGACCUGCCCUUAGCUCUGGGAUAAGCCUGGGAAACGUGGGUCUAAUACCGGAUAUGACUCCAUGACGCAUGUUGGUGGGGUGGAAAGCCUUGUGCGGCUAGGGAUGGGCCCGCGGCCUAUCAGCUUGUUGGUGGGGUGUA
Molecule: ribosomal RNA, 234 nt
Filed under: uncultured bacterium
Lineage: Bacteria
Description: partial 16S ribosomal RNA
Rfam family: Bacterial small subunit ribosomal RNA
Source: RNAcentral